RNAcentral lists this long non-coding RNA (406 nucleotides) under Mytilus galloprovincialis (Mediterranean mussel). Lineage: Eukaryota; Metazoa; Mollusca; Bivalvia; Mytilida; Mytilidae. The record is from RNAcentral.
UGAUGUGCUAGUGUUUAUUUUUUACAAAAAGUUCUAAGUAACCUGUAAAUUCCAAAACACCUCGUGCUGAGUCACUAAAGUCGAGCGCACCCUAAAAGGUGUACUUGAUUUUGGCCAUAUUUAUACUUGUCUUAACCAAUAACUACAUUUAUAAACUUGUUUAAAGGAAAUCAAUGCUAGCACUGCAUGCAAUAAUCCUAUAUCUAUCAGUCAUCAAAUUGCCAAAUAUGAGAGUACAAGGAUAAAGGCUGUGGAUUUUCUAUAAAAAUCUUGAUUUAUUUGCCACAAAGUCCUCUUUUUCUAUUAAAUGCAAUGGAACAGUAAAAAAUAAUGCUUUGCAUCAAGUUUCCCCUUGGAAUAUGUACAAAAUGGCCUAUCUCUAUUAUUCAUAAUAUCUGUAGUUUUG